UCAUGAGGUGUACAGUCUACCAAACAACCGGGGAAGGUAAGUUCGCGAGAUGUCCCGGAUAAUCUGAACAUCUGUAGGGCGUAUCGAUAGCUUGCAUGACAACCUCGAAACAUCCGCGCACAGUCUAAGAGAUCUAGAUACGCUUGCAGGAAGCCGAGCAAAACGAAAGGAGCGAAUCCAACCUACUUGGUUCUUGGAUGUGCCUGCACUAUUGCUUUCUUCAGAACUUCUUGUCAAGGUGGAAUCUUCUCUUGUUUGGAGAUGCAGGACGAGGUCAAAGUGACGAUGAUUAUGGCGGUUUCCGGUCAUUUUGACUUGCGAUGUAGUCAUACAAGGUGAAGCCACAAUGGUCAAGAAGUGCCUCUUCCUCGUUGUCACAGGGUGCUAACUGGCAACUUUCCUUGCUGUCACACAGAUCAAUAUCUCUCCUAUGCUAUGGGCGUCUGCAUGCUGUAAUUACAACUGCGUAUCCUACUAGUUUGUUGCAAUAGCGGUUUGCGAAUACUGUACAUGUCUUAGAAAUAUUCAAGCACAGUAACUGACAUACGUAGCUAGUCUAGGCCGUAUGUACGUACCGGCGCCAUCCAUGUUUGUGUGACUGGUUAAAUUCCUCUAGCGCAGAACCUUUGGUAUCUCUGGAAGCAGUUGGUAC
Molecule: long non-coding RNA, 652 nt
Organism: Corticium candelabrum
Lineage: Eukaryota; Metazoa; Porifera; Homoscleromorpha; Homosclerophorida; Plakinidae
Exons: 4
Source: RefSeq, a predicted model, not a curated record